CUCAUCUUUUUCCUCUCACCUUUCAUACCUCCCAGUAGCCAAGGAUGCCCUACUGAAAAUAUUACUGCUUUUCAGCAUAAUGAAUCACUGUACUAAUGUUGAUUUUUCUCAAGUAUUUUGUCACAGUGAAGGAGUGCUGACAUAUAUAGACAAGAAGCAGCAAAAACAACACUCCAGCAUGGGAUAUGAAAUAAAUAGCAUACCAAUAAAGAAAAGAUGAGAUGGAAUGGAGCCUUCUGG
Molecule: long non-coding RNA, 240 nt
Filed under: Fukomys damarensis (Damara mole-rat)
Lineage: Eukaryota; Metazoa; Chordata; Mammalia; Rodentia; Bathyergidae
Description: lncRNA (ENSFDAG00000024457.1)
Source: RNAcentral